CUGAAUAAUUGUUAGGUGAGGCUCCUAUAUGGACACAGGCUGCUGCCGCGAAAGAAUCGAGAGACUCUUAGUUGGUUGAACAGGAAUGAUCGUGAAGGUCAUUCAUAACGUAGCUGAUAAGAAAUUAUCUACGCCCUAUAGUGCUAAAGCUCAACGAUAGAGAAACUUU
This is a non-coding RNA of Enterococcus termitis, 169 nucleotides long. Lineage: Bacteria; Bacillati; Bacillota; Bacilli; Lactobacillales; Enterococcaceae. The record is from Rfam.